GGUGCCAUCGACGAACUGGCUAAGUCACCAGCCUCUCAAGCUGGAGGUUGUGGGUUCGAUCCCCACUGGCAUCACCA
This 77-nucleotide transfer RNA is filed under the name Caudoviricetes sp. RNAcentral describes it as "tRNA-Glu". It matches the Rfam family "tRNA". Rfam says of the family: Transfer RNA (tRNA) molecules are approximately 80 nucleotides in length. Their secondary structure includes four short double-helical elements and three loops (D, anti-codon, and T loops). Further hydrogen bonds mediate the characteristic L-shaped molecular structure. tRNAs have two regions of fundamental functional importance: the anti-codon, which is responsible for specific mRNA codon recognition, and the 3' end, to which the tRNAs corresponding amino acid is attached (by aminoacyl-tRNA synthetases). tRNAs cope with the degeneracy of the genetic code in two manners: having more than one tRNA (with a specific anti-codon) for a particular amino acid; and 'wobble' base-pairing, i.e. permitting non-standard base-pairing at the 3rd anti-codon position. The record is from RNAcentral. Lineage: Duplodnaviria; Heunggongvirae; Uroviricota; Caudoviricetes.